Ochotona princeps (American pika) is the source of this 465-nucleotide non-coding RNA. NCBI's taxonomy places the organism in Eukaryota, Metazoa, Chordata, Mammalia, Lagomorpha, Ochotonidae. The record is from the annotation of a RefSeq genome assembly.
CAACCUAUGCCCAGAGUUUAGUAGAGAAAGGACUCAGCCUUGCCUGAUCCUGCCAUGGACAGACACAGAACAGCAGGACCCAGUAGAGGCUGUCUCCUCUACUGGAUGAUCCUGGGCCUGCUGGGAGCAGGACACAUGGAAUCCAGAGUCAGCCAAACACCCAACCACGAUGUCACAGAGAUGGGACAGAGCAUAGUCCUCAGAUGUGAGCCCAUUUCUGGUCAUUAUGCCAUCUAUUGGUAUCGACAUACCCCAGAAAAGGGAAUGGAGUUUCUGAUCUAUUUCUAUAACAAGGCACCUGCUGAGAAGGCGGACUUCUUCAAGGAUCGGUUCUCAGCUAACAUGUCUGAGGACUCCCACGCUACACUGACUAUCCAACCUGUGCAGCUUGGGGACUCAGCCACAUAUUUCUGUGCCAGCAGCUUGGAUCACAUUGCUACAAAGUCACUUCCUGCCCAUGCAUAA